This 324-nucleotide ribosomal RNA is filed under the name uncultured eukaryote. RNAcentral describes it as "partial 18S ribosomal RNA". It matches the Rfam family "Eukaryotic small subunit ribosomal RNA", at positions 1470 to 1796 of the family's 1831-position model. The record is from RNAcentral.
CCCUUAGAUGUUCUGGGCCGCACGCGCGCUACACUGAUGCAUUCAACGAGUUUCUUCCUGGUCCGAGAGGAAUGGGUAACCUUUUGAAAGUGCAUCGUGAUAGGGAUAGACUAUUGCAAUUAUUGGUCUUCAACGAGGAAUUCCUAGUAGACGUAGUUCAUCAGACUGCAUCGAUUACGUCCCUGCCCAUUGUACACACCGCCCGUCGCUCCUACCGAUUGAAUGCUCAGGUGAGCCAUUCGGACUUUCAUCAUGCUGGUUUCCAGUUUUGAUGAAGGAAAGUCUUGCGAACCUUAUCAUUUAGAGGAAGGAGAAGUCGUAACA